RNAcentral lists this transfer RNA (62 nucleotides) under Broussonetia papyrifera (paper mulberry). RNAcentral describes it as "partial tRNA-Leu". Lineage: Eukaryota; Viridiplantae; Streptophyta; Magnoliopsida; Rosales; Moraceae. The record is from RNAcentral.
AAAAUCCGUCGACUUUAAAAAUCGUGAGGGUUCAAGUCCCUCUAUCCCCACUCCCCAAAAAG